Molecule: ribosomal RNA, 253 nt
Filed under: uncultured bacterium
Lineage: Bacteria
Description: partial 16S ribosomal RNA
Rfam family: Bacterial small subunit ribosomal RNA
Source: RNAcentral
UACAGAGGGUGCGAGCGUUGUUCGGAAUUAUUGGGCGUAAAGCGCGUGUAGGCGGGAUGGCAAGUCGGGUGUGAAAGCCCUCAGCUCAACUGAGGAAGUGCGCCCGAAACUACUGUUCUUGAGUACUGGAGAGGGUGGCGGAAUUCCCGGUGUAGAGGUGAAAUUCGUAGAUAUCGGGAGGAACACCAGUGGCGAAGGCGGCGAUCUGGGAAGAUACUGACGCUGAGGUGCGAAAGCGUGGGGAGCAAACAGG